Molecule: small RNA, 139 nt
Filed under: unidentified
Description: Gallionellales bacterium Manganese sequence
Rfam family: Manganese Mn2+ riboswitch aptamer (yybP-ykoY)
About the family: This RNA was originally discovered in E. coli during a large scale screen and was named SraF. The family was later found to exist upstream of related families of protein genes in many bacteria, including the the yybP and ykoK genes in B. subtilis.
Source: RNAcentral
CCGGUUCGUCAUUGGGGAGUAGCCGCCCUUCACCUUGAGGGGGCCUGUUUCAACAUGCUUGACCUUCCGGUCAUGGUGCAGGCAGUUUCCGACCUGGCAAGACCUUUGAUCAUCGCGGUUCCCGACCGGCCGGGGAAAC